AUAGAUAGGAACCCCCCGUGUCCCGCACCAGGGCAUGAGAGCCUUUCUACACCGCUCAUCUUCGAUCGCCGGUGCAGAUUGCCGCCUCUGUGAUUUCUGCCCUGGACGGAGGAGAAUCGUUUUUUUCUGUCAGGGUGAGUGAGGGGAUAUGCUCUUCGGCGUUGGACGAGCGCCUCCUCCCCCUUGGUGGAAUACCCCAUCCGGGUUAAACGAAGUAAGAAAAACGCGCUCGAGUGCAUGUAAAACGGGCUGGAGCCCUUGUGGGAACGCAAUGAGUCGCGGUGGUCGCGCAAGUUGUCUUGCCUAUUCUGUUCUGGCCGGGCUUCCCUCCCGGGAGCCUGGUCCUUAGAGCAAGUGUUUGAUUACUGCACUAUUGUUAGUAUGAACUUAAAAUGCACCUUCUUCGUCCGAUAUCAUUCCGUUCGGCCCCAUGUCUGUGCUAUGACUAUCUUGGAGAAGUUGACGUGGGGAGAUGGGGAGUCAGAUGAGCCUUGAUGGGUGCCGUUCUGGUGCUCGGCUUGAUUCCUUCUUUCCUGCUCAAUCUCAUCGAACAUCUCCAGUUUCGUCUCCUCUCCUCAGAGUAUUUGGAGCUUCUUCCGCUGCUCCUUUCACUACCGUUGGCAUGUAUUCGUUACUAAUUUCAGGUCUGCGAGUAAAGCUUCACCGCUCAUUCAUGCUUGUUUUUAUUUAUUUAUUUAUUAUUUUUACUAUUUUACUUUGGAAA
This is a long non-coding RNA of Physcomitrium patens, 724 nucleotides long. RefSeq lists it as uncharacterized. The record is from RefSeq and is a predicted model, not a curated record. NCBI's taxonomy places the organism in Eukaryota, Viridiplantae, Streptophyta, Bryopsida, Funariales, Funariaceae.